CGAACGGUAACAGGAAGAAGCUUGCUUCUUUGCUGACGAGUGGCGGACGGGUGAGUAAUGUCUGGGAAACUGCCUGAUGGAGGGGGAUAACUACUGGAAACGGUAGCUAAUACCGCAUAACGUCGCAAGACCAAAGAGGGGGCCUUCGGGCCUCUUGCCAUCGGAUGUGCCCAGAUGGGAUUAGCUAGUAUGUGGGGUAACGGCUCACCUAGGCGACGAUCCCUAGCUGGUCUGAGAGGAUGACCAGCCACACUGGAACUGAGACACGGUCCAGACUCCUACGGGAGGCAGCAGUGGGGAAUAUUGCACAAUGGGCGCAAGCCUGAUGCAGCCAUGCCGCGUGUAUGAAGAAGGCCUUCGGGUUGUAAAGUACUUUCAGCGGGGAGGAAGGGAGUACAGUUAAUACCUUUGCUCAUUGACGUUACCCGCAGAAGAAGCACCGGCUAACUCCGUGCCAGCAGCCGCGGUAAUACGGAGGGUGCAAGCGUUAAUCGGAAUUACUGGGCGUAAAGCGCACGCAGGCGGCUGCGCAAGACAGGUGUGAAAUCCCCGGGCUUAACCUGGGAACUGCAUUUGUGACUGCGCGGCUAGAGUCCGUAAGAGGGGGGUGGAAUUCCACGUGUAGCAGUGAAAUGCGUAGAGAUGUGGAGGAACACCGAUGGCGAAGGCAGCCCCCUGGGAUGAGACUGACGCUCAUGUACGAAAGCGUGGGGAGCAAACAGGAUUAGAUACCCUGGUAGUCCACGCCCUAAACGAUGUCGACUAGUUGUCGGGUCUUUACAGACUUGGUAACGCAGCUAACGCGUGAAGUCGACCGCCUGGGGAGUACGAUCGCAAGAUUAAAACUCAAAGGAAUUGACGGGGACCCGCACAAGCGGUGGAUGAUGUGGAUUAAUUCGAUGCAACGCGAAAAACCUUACCUACCCUUGACAUGCCAGGAAUCUUGGUGAGAGCCGAGAGUGCCUUCGGGAGCCUGGACACAGGUGCUGCAUG
This 993-nucleotide ribosomal RNA is filed under the name uncultured Pseudomonadota bacterium. Its description in RNAcentral is "bacterial SSU rRNA". It matches the Rfam family "Bacterial small subunit ribosomal RNA", at positions 63 to 1047 of the family's 1533-position model. The record is from RNAcentral. Lineage: Bacteria; Pseudomonadati; Pseudomonadota.